AAUCAACGCUGGCGGCGUGCCUAACACAUGCAAGUCGAGCGGACUUGAUGAAGUGCUUGCACUUCUGAUGGUUAGCGGCGGACGGGUGAGUAACACGUAGGUAACCUGCCUAUAAGACUGGGAUAACAUUCGGAAACGAAUGCUAAUACCGGAUACGCGAAUUGGUCGCAUGGCCGAAUCGGGAAAGACGGAGCAAUCUGUCACUUAUAGAUGGACCUGCGGCGCAUUAGCUAGUUGGUGAGGUAACGGCUCACCAAGGUGACGAUGCGUAGCCGACCUGGUAGGGUGAUCGGCCACACGGGGACUGAGACACGGCCCAGACUCCUACGGGAGGCAGCAGUAGGGAAUCUUCCGCAAUGGACGAAAGUCUGACGGAGCAACGCCGCGUGAGUGAUGAAGGUUUUCGGAUCGUAAAGCUCUGUUGCCAGGGAAGAACGCUUGGGAGAGUAACUGCUCUCAAGGUGACGGUACCUGAGAAGAAAGCCCCGGCAAACUACGUGCCAGCAGCCGCGGUAA
This 516-nucleotide ribosomal RNA is filed under the name uncultured bacterium. Its description in RNAcentral is "partial 16S ribosomal RNA". It matches the Rfam family "Bacterial small subunit ribosomal RNA", at positions 32 to 523 of the family's 1533-position model. The record is from RNAcentral.